Molecule: non-coding RNA, 78 nt
Organism: Schistosoma curassoni
Lineage: Eukaryota; Metazoa; Platyhelminthes; Trematoda; Strigeidida; Schistosomatidae
Source: Rfam
AGCUUACAGAAUCCGUAUUGAGAUUUCGUCAGAUGACAACCCACAAGAGCUGACGAGACUUCUGAAAUAAGUGAAGCA